This 468-nucleotide ribosomal RNA is filed under the name uncultured bacterium. RNAcentral describes it as "partial 16S ribosomal RNA". It matches the Rfam family "Bacterial small subunit ribosomal RNA", at positions 28 to 507 of the family's 1533-position model. The record is from RNAcentral.
GACGAACGCUGGCGGCGUGCUUAGCACAUGCAAGUCGAACGGAAAGGCCCUGCUUUUGUGGGGUGCUCGAGUGGCGAACGGGUGAGUAACACGUGAGUAACCUGCCCUUGACUUUGGGAUAACUUCAGGAAACUGGGGCUAAUACCGGAUAGGAGCUCCUGCUGCAUGGUGGGGGUUGGAAAGUUUCGGCGGUUGGGGAUGGACUCGCGGCUUAUCAGCUUGUUGGUGGGGUAGUGGCUUACCAAGGCUUUGACGGGUAGCCGGCAUGAGAGGGUGACCGGAGAAAUGGGGAAUGAGAUACGGCACAGACGACAACGGGAGGAAGGAGUGGGGAAUAGUGCACAAUGGGAGGAAGCCUGAUGCAGAAACGCAGCGUGCGGGAUGAAGGCCUACGGGUUGUAAAACGAUUUAGCAUGUGACGAAGCGUGAGUGACGGUAAUGGGUAAAGAAGCACCGGCUAACUACGUG